RNAcentral lists this ribosomal RNA (490 nucleotides) under uncultured bacterium. Its description in RNAcentral is "partial 16S ribosomal RNA". It matches the Rfam family "Bacterial small subunit ribosomal RNA", at positions 30 to 507 of the family's 1533-position model. The record is from RNAcentral.
AUUGAACGCUGGCGGCAGGCCUAACACAUGCAAGUCGAACGGUAACAGGAAGCAGCUUGCUGCUUUGCUGACGAGUGGCGGACGGGUGAGUAAUGUCUGGGAAACUGCCUGAUGGAGGGGGAUAACUACUGGAAACGGUAGCUAAUACCGCAUAACGUCGCAAGACCAAAGAGGGGGACCUUAGGGCCUCUUGCCAUCGGAUGUGCCCAGAUGGGAUUAGCUAGUAGGUAGGGUAACGGCUCACCUAGGCGACGAUCCCUAGCUGGUCUGAGAGGAUGACCAGCCACACUGGAACUGAGACACGGUCCAGACUCCUACGGGAGGCAGCAGUGGGGAAUAUUGCACAAUGGGCGCAAGCCUGAUGCAGCCAUGCCGCGUGUAUGAAGAAGGCCUUCGGGUUGUAAAGUACUUUCAGCGGGGAGGAAGGGAGUAAAGUUAAUACCUUCACUCAUUGACGUUACCCGCAGAAGAAGCACCGGCUAACUCCGUG